RNAcentral lists this unclassified non-coding RNA (219 nucleotides) under plant metagenome. Its description in RNAcentral is "partial contains small subunit ribosomal RNA, internal transcribed spacer 1, and 5.8S ribosomal RNA". The record is from RNAcentral.
UUUCCGUAGGUGAACCUGCGGAAGGAUCAUUACAGAGUUCAUGCCCUCACGGGUAGAUCUCCCACCCUUGAAUAUUUAUACCUUAGUUGCUUUGGCAGGCGUGGAAACACCAUGGGCUCCGGCUUAUGCGUGCCUGCCAGAGGAAACAAACUCUGUUUUUAGUGAUGUCUGAGUACUAUAUAAUAGUUAAAACUUUCAACAACGGAUCUCUUGGUUCUG